Molecule: long non-coding RNA, 1016 nt
Filed under: Rosa chinensis
Lineage: Eukaryota; Viridiplantae; Streptophyta; Magnoliopsida; Rosales; Rosaceae
Description: sRNA RchiOBHm_Chr3g0490311
Source: RNAcentral
GUCCCAUUACUUAAAAAAAAAAAAAAAUCUGGGCACCCAUGUCUUCUCCCUCUUCUCCCUUCUCCGGUUGCAGACCUGGGAAUCUGGGAUUUGUUGUAGAAGCAGAGUAGUGGCACAAAAUUCUGAAGAAACUGCUCGUCAAGCAUGCCAAGCAUCAGACACGGCGUCAAGGCAGAGCAUGUAAAUAUGGAACAAUUCGGAGGCAAGUCUGUCAUCUAGCUUUGAAGGAUCGGCCAGUCAAAUAGUUGGAGAUAAGGUGACGAAUCCUGACGGAUUCUAGCUUAAAGAGGAGACUUUCAGAGGUUUCGAUGGAGGAGGCAGGUCUAUCGCUUCGCUUAGCCACAGAUCGGUGUUAUAGUCGAAGUCGGAGUCUAGGUAUUUCAAGGCGCAUCGAAGCUUAGAGAGAGAGACCAGAUCGGAGGUCACAUCUGGAGGAAGCCGUCGGCGGCCGCGCCGGCAAUGAUGGAGUUCCACGGGUAGGCCCCUUCUACAGGAGAGAGAGAGAGAGAGAGAGAGAGAGAGAGAGAGAGAGAGAGAGAGAGAGAGAGAGAGAGCAGAUGGGCAUGAUAGUAGUUGUUUAGUUAGGAUGACGGUAAAAUUGAAAUUUUCCUCUAAAUUGGGUUAGUGGGAAUAAAAAUUUGUUGCUGGGGUAAGUGAGAUAGUUUUGGCUUAUUUUGGUGCUUUUGGUCAAUGACCCUUUUUCUUUUUCUUUUUUCUUUUUUCUGGACAAUACUUUGCUAACCAUAGUUGAUUAGCAAAGGCUGACAUUAUCCAAUGAUAAGAGGACAUCCGUCCUUUUAGAGCCAUCAAAUGCAUUUUUAUAUAUAGCCCAACAUGUGAACAUCACAUGCGGAUCACUAGCUAGCUUUUAAAAAAAAUUCUAAAAGGACAAAUGUCCUCUUAUUAUUGGAUACGGUCAGCAUUUGCUAACUAGCUGUGGUUAUUGAAGUAUUGUCUUUUUUCUUUUAGAGUACUUCUACAUAUUUUCACAAUUUAACAUGUGGACCUCAUUAGAU